Long non-coding RNA from Sander lucioperca (pikeperch), 103 nucleotides. RefSeq lists it as uncharacterized. The transcript is spliced from 3 exons. The record is from RefSeq and is a predicted model, not a curated record. NCBI's taxonomy places the organism in Eukaryota, Metazoa, Chordata, Actinopteri, Perciformes, Percidae.
UAUUUAUGUUUUUUUUAUAAUUGUUAUUAUUGACUGGUGCUGAGAGAGUGCCAAGGCACAUUGUAUUUCAUUGCUGUGGUACUUCGGACACAUUAGCAGUAGC